UGGGGAAUUUUGCACAAUGGGGGGAACCUUGAUGCAGCGACGCCGCGUGAGGGAUGGAGGCCUUCGGGUUGUGAACCUCUUUCGCUCGUGUGCAAGCCGCUAUUUGGGUAGUGGUGAGUGUAGCGGGUAAAGAAGCGCCGGCUAACUACGUGCCAGCAGCCGCGGUAAUACGUAGGGCGCGAGCGUUGUCCGGAUUUAUUGGGCGUAAAGGGCUUGUAGGCGGUUUGUCGCGCCUGUCGUGUAAUCCUCUGGCUUAACUGGGGGUGUGCGGUGGGUACGCGGAGGCUUGAGUGCGGUAGGGGAGAUGGGCAUUCCUGGUGUAGCGGUGGAAUGCGCAGAUAUCAGGAGGGACACCGGUGGGGAAGGCGGGUCUCUGGGCCGUUACUGACGCUGAGGGGCGAAAGCGUGGGGAGCGAACAGG
RNAcentral lists this ribosomal RNA (421 nucleotides) under Fusobacteriota bacterium. RNAcentral describes it as "Fusobacteria bacterium partial 16S ribosomal RNA". It matches the Rfam family "Bacterial small subunit ribosomal RNA", at positions 355 to 776 of the family's 1533-position model. Lineage: Bacteria; Fusobacteriati; Fusobacteriota. The record is from RNAcentral.